GGUGCUAUAGUGUAGUGGUUAUCACUCGGGAUUUUGACUGUGAUGAUCACGUGAUCGCCCCCUCCAGCACUUUCCCGAAACCCAGGUUCGAACCCUGGUAGCACCU
Non-coding RNA from Cristinia sonorae, 106 nucleotides. The record is from the annotation of a GenBank genome assembly. Lineage: Eukaryota; Fungi; Basidiomycota; Agaricomycetes; Agaricales; Stephanosporaceae.